This 449-nucleotide ribosomal RNA is filed under the name uncultured bacterium. RNAcentral's name for it is "bacterial SSU rRNA". It matches the Rfam family "Bacterial small subunit ribosomal RNA", at positions 329 to 792 of the family's 1533-position model. The record is from RNAcentral.
UUCCAGACUCCUACGGGAGGCAGCAGUGGGGAAUAUUGCACAAUGGGCGAAAGCCUGAUGCAGCAACGCCGCGUGAAGGAAGAAGGGUUUCGGCUCGUAAACUUCUAUCAACAGGGACGAAAGAAAUGACGGUACCUGAAUAAGAAGCCACGGCUAACUACGUGCCAGCAGCCGCGGUAAUACGUAGGUGGCAAGCGUUAUCCGGAAUUACUGGGUGUAAAGGGUGUGUAGGCGGGGCUGCAAGUCAGAUGUGAAAAUUAUGGGCUCAACCCAUAACCUGCGUCUGAAACUGUAGCUCUUGAGAGUGGGAGAGGUAAACGGAAUUCCAGGUGUAGCGGUGAAAUGCGUAGAUAUCGGGAGGAACACCAGUGGCGAAGGCGGUUUACUGGACCACAACUGACGCUGAGACACGAAAGCGUGGGGAGCAAACAGGAUUAGAUACCCGUGUA